AUCCUCGAAAGGAAAGCGUCAACCGCAACUGACUGGAAUGGAUAUAAAUUGCUAAACUCCGUCAAAGAACUGGAAGUAUUAUUAGUUAGCAUCAGAAGGGCAUUAUAAGUAGCCUGAGAGUGAAAGUUGACACUGGAGCCGAUACGCACAGCGAGGCCUGGGAAGCCGAGAAGCAAAUGAGGAUCUGCAGGAUGAUUAUGCAAACAAAGUUACCACGAAAUUAAAAGCAAGAAAUUUGAGGAAGUUUCAAACGAGAGAGGGCAAAUACCAACACGUUAGGAAGGGGACGACAAUCGCCAGCCAGAUAAAUUUGUAGACUUGGAUUUUAGGAAUGCAAGAGGAAGUCGCUUUUUCAGUUGACAUAUUCAGCUCCUAUGUAUAAGAUCCUUAACUAUUCAAGUAAAUAUCUCCAUAUCUACUGCACAUAUUGUAUAUAAUAAUAAAUAAUUACUAAGUAAUAUGAUUAAGUAAAUUUAGAUUAAAUUUUAAUUAAAAAUUGUAACACACUUUCUUCAAUUAGAAAGUUAAAUAAAACACAUAAAGUCAAAAGCCAAAAACUAGAAUAUCCAAGAAAAUAAGUAUACGCAAGUCCAUAGAAUUGUUUUGCCCCCUUUAGCACUAAACGAUGCAGAGCGUUUUGAAUGAAAAGCCUAUCCAAAGUUUCAUAUUCAUCUUCAUAUCUCAUACAAUUUACUAUCAGAAAUCUUAUAAUUCUUUCAUUUUAGGCAAAAUGGAACGGAACACCCUCCCAUCUUCCACGCAAACACAGAAGGAAAUCAUCAUCUUCAGGAAUAUACCUUCAAACGAAUCACACCGUGCGAUGUUUGCUCACAAAUAUUGCGAGGUCAUACGAGGCAAGGUCUUCGAUGUCGAAUGUGUAAGAUGAACUCACACAAUCACUGCUCAUCUAAUCUACCGAAAUGUCCAGAUAGCCACAAGCCGAUUUACAAGAAGAAAAGCUUCUAUAAAUCAAUCAGAAAGGACAACUAUGCAGACAGUAGUGAAGUGGACCAACCAGAUAAGUUAGCACAGUUAGCAAUGCGCAUCAAAGGCCUUCAACAGGAACCUCACAGGAGACAAAGUGUAGCGCACAGAAGGAUAUCAGCAGAGAAGAAUUCAACCUGCAAUGUUGGAGAUAGCAGUUUGGAGCCAUCCGAUAAGUUAGCACAGUUGGCACUGCGCAUGAAACCAGAAGUACACAGAAGGCCGAGUGCACCGCCAAAGCAGAAGUCCGUUGACAAUAACACAACCUUCAAUGUGGAAGAAAGUGGACCAGCCCAACCGGAUAAAUUAGCCAACCUCGCAGUUCGCAUUAAAGGACUCCAGCAAGAACCACAUAGGAAGCAAAGCGUGCCGCGCAGAAGAGCUUCAGUUGACAGUAAUGCAUCCUAUUCUAAAACAGAAAAGUUACAGGAUACUCCGUUAACAGGUUCAUACGUAGCUUUAUACGACUUCAAAGGAAGACACGAUGACGAGAUUGAUUUGAGCGCUGGCUGCAAGAUAACCAUUACGGAUGUUUCAAAUCCAGACUGGUGGAAAGGAGAAUAUGAUGACCGGUCCGGCUACUUUCCUUCAAAAUAUUGCUGCAAACUCAACCCUGGGGAGAAACCACUACAAGUCGUCCGCAAGGCUGAUAUCACACAAAAAGCGCGGGACGGAAAUAUUCGACUGUUGAGGGAUCAAAUUGUAUUCCAGAUAGGUGAUGAGAACGAGGGAUACACGAUGAUUCGUACCGCCAGUAAUCAAAGAGGCUAUUGUCCACUUAAACAUCUCCGAGAAGUCGGCAGAGGAGACAGGAAGGACGAAAGAUCGGAUGUUUCAAGAGAUGAACAAAGGGAUCGCGUAGAAGAGCAACAAGAGGACACUCAUUCUUUAGAAGACUCUGUGUGGGAACGGCUACGAGAGAAUCAACUCAAAAGGAUGAAGAAUAUCUGCGUUGGAUAUUGCCGCGAAUUCGGAAGAAGUAAAAAAUUAGCUUGUAAGCAAUCGUUUAGCCUUAAUCCUAAUUGGUAUACGGAAAAUAUAUAUGGUAACAAAUCCAUCGAUUUAGAUAGCGACUAUCAAUCAGAUUCGUUCCGUUUAAAGAAAUUCGACAUUGCUCACGAUGAACUUCCCAUCGACGAAAUCAUCAAAAGUUGUUACAUGCGAACGUCUCAUAGUUGUAAGGAUUUAAGAUACCUCAAUCCUCAAAGCUGUUGUGUUCGUGGGGGAUAUAAAUGUGGGUCUAAACUCAUAAUCCCGAAAUCGUACUCUCUCAAUCUGAACAAGAUAAAUCCGUUCGAUGAGAUCGACUACUACCCCAAAUAUUUUGUUACUAAGAAGGAUCUAACUUUAAAUGCUGGUGAUAUUUCUCCUGAGAAUUGCUUUCGGAAUCAAUGCUCAGCGUGCUUCAAGGGUCCAGUCACUUCGAGGUUUAGAUGUCGAAAACAAACUGACCAGAACUAUGUGCGCGGCAGACGGGACUACAAAGAAAAUAAAUUGGUGCGGUCUGGCUCCCAAAAGGAAUUACCAAACACAGUAUGCAACGCGCAUUUUUGUGCAGUGUCAAACCCACAUCGGGGAUGUCCUUCCAACAUGAAAAUGCAUUCACCGCACGACUUUGAGUGCAAGCUUUGUAGAUAUGCUGUUGUUCCGUCUGAGAAGAGUAGCAGGAAUAGGGGCCAAAUUGACUUUGAUGUUGACUGGACGAUCAAGCAAAGCAAAUCUGCGAUAGAGGUCAAACCUCCUGAAAAAUAUGAUGAGUAUAGCACUUCAGACUCCACGGGUGUUGAUUUGGAAGACUUCAAUUUCGAUUUCGAGAAGUAUUGGGAGGAGAUUGAAAACGAAUCAAGUCCGGUAGAGAUGAAAGCUCAAAAGAAGUACUCCAAGAAAGGAUACGAGGACAAAAGUAGUAAAUCAAGGCACUAUCGGGACGACUCGCGAUCGAUCUCCAAGUGUAGUGAAGUAGAAGGGGCCCAAAUAAAGCAGGACCUGCUCAGCGGUAUGCUCUCUCCUCCGAACAAUGGGUACCGCCCUGCAAACUAUCACUCCCGCUCGAAGUUCAGCGCGCCGUUCAGGCGAUUCUCCUUCAAAGUAUUCCCAAAAUCCAUCAACACCCAUGACAACAUUUACAUGCAACGACAUUGCAAACAAGACUACGCAGACCGACCGCUUAAUUUGAUAAAUAAUAUUUUUUCUAUAUAUAAACCGAACAAGUAUUUACCUAUGAAUUGUUACCAGUUUAAUAAUGAUAAGCCGUUUUUUCUAAAGAAAAGUGAAUUUAUGAACCACGUUUUACAAUGCGAGGAGUCGCGUAAUGAAUACGUAACAUCCAUUAAGAGACCAUUGAUCGUGACCGCGGAUCAACCACGUUUUGAGAUUAUUCCAAGAAAGACUGGACUUCGGGUUUCACCCUUGUAUGAUUCGGGCUAUCCUCAAAGGAAGAGGCAAUUUUUGAGGAGUACUGCACGGCCGUUGUCGUUUCAUAAUUAAAAUGUAGUUUAGUGUGGAAAUGAAUAGUUGGCGGUGAUGAUUUGCUUCCAGAGAUUUUUCACUGGAAGCAAAUGGAGAUUUUUCUCUGGUUCUUAAGGUUUCAGAUCGCUGUCUAU
Molecule: unclassified non-coding RNA, 3587 nt
Filed under: Hermetia illucens (black soldier fly)
Lineage: Eukaryota; Metazoa; Arthropoda; Insecta; Diptera; Stratiomyidae
Description: uncharacterized LOC119646397, transcript variant X2
Source: RNAcentral